UACGAAUGGAGCGAGCGUUGUUCGGAAUCACUGGGCGUAAAGCGUACGUAGGCGGUUAUGAAAGUCAGAAGUGAAAUCCUGGGGCUUAACCCCAGAAUUGCUUUUGAAACUCCAUAACUAGAGUCCCGGAGAGGUUAACGGAAUUCCGAGUGUAGAGGUGAAAUUCGCAGAUAUUCGGAGGAACACCAGUGGCGAAGGCGGUUAACUGGACGGGUACUGACGCUGAGGUACGAAAGCGUGGGGAGCAAACAGG
This 253-nucleotide ribosomal RNA is filed under the name uncultured bacterium. Its description in RNAcentral is "partial 16S ribosomal RNA". It matches the Rfam family "Bacterial small subunit ribosomal RNA", at positions 524 to 776 of the family's 1533-position model. The record is from RNAcentral.